This 1426-nucleotide ribosomal RNA is filed under the name photoautotrophic bacterium GMMC_Photoauto_1. RNAcentral's name for it is "partial 16S ribosomal RNA". It matches the Rfam family "Bacterial small subunit ribosomal RNA". The record is from RNAcentral.
AAGAGAGUUUGGAUUCCUGGGCUUAAGAAUGAAACGCCUGCGGGCAUUGCCUUACACAUGCCAAGUCGAACGGCAGCACGGACCUUCGGGUCUGGUGGCCGAGUUGGCGAACCGGGUGAGUAAAUAUAUCGGAACGUGCCCUGGAGUGGGGGAUAACUAGUCGAAAGAUUAGCUAAUACCGCAUACGAUCUAGGGAUGAAAGUGGGGGAUCGCAAGACCUCAUGCUCGUGGAGCGGCCGAUAUCUGAUUAGCUAGUUGGUGGGGUAAAAGCCUACCAAGGCGUCGAUCAGUAGCUGGUCUGAGAGGACGACCAGCCACACUGGGACUGAGACACGGCCCAGACUCCUACGGGAGGCAGCAGUGGGGAAUUUUGGACAAUGGGGGCAACCCUGAUCCAGCAAUGCCGCGUGAGUGAAGAAGGCCUUCGGGUUGUAAAGCUCUUUUGUCAGGGAAGAAACGGUGGGAGCUAAUAUCUCCUGCUAAUGACGGUACCUGAAGAAUAAGCACCGGCUAACUACGUGCCAGCAGCCGCGGUAAUACGUAGGGUGCAAGCGUUAAUCGGAAUUACUGGGCGUAAAGCGUGCGCAGGCGGUUGUGCAAGACAGAUGUGAAAUCCCCGGGCUCAACCUGGGAAUUGCAUUUGUGACUGCACGGCUAGAGUGUGUCAGAGGGGGGUAGAAUUCCACGUGUAGCAGUGAAAUGCGUAGAGAUGUGGAGGAAUACCGAUGGCGAAGGCAGCCCCCUGGGAUAACACUGACGCUCAUGCACGAAAGCGUGGGGAGCAAACAGGAUUAGAUACCCUGGUAGUCCACGCCCUAAACGAUGUCAACUAGUUGUCGGGUCUUAAUUGACUUGGUAACGCAGCUAACGCGUGAAGUUGACCGCCUGGGGAGUACGGUCGCAAGAUUAAAACUCAAAGGAAUUGACGGGGACCCGCACAAGCGGUGGAUGAUGUGGAUUAAUUCGAUGCAACGCGAAAAACCUUACCUACCCUUGACAUGGCAGGAAUCCCGGAGAGAUCUGGGAGUGCUCGAAAGAGAACCUGCACACAAGUGCUGCAUGGCUGUCGUCAGCUCGUGUCGUGAGAUGAAAAAAGUAAGUCCCGCAACGAGCGCAACCCUUGUCAUUUGUUGCUACGAAAGGGCACUCUAAUGAGACUGCCGGUGACAAACCGGAGGAAGGUGGGGAUGACGUCAAGUCCUCAUGGCCCUUAUGGGUAGGGCUUCACACGUCAUACAAUGGUACAUACAGAGGGCCGCCAACCCGCGAGGGGGAGAUAAUCCCAGAAAGUGUAUGGUAGUCCGGAUUGGAGUCUGCAACUCGAUCCAUGAAGUUGGAAUCGCUAGUAAUCGCGGAUCAGCAUGUCGCGGUGAAUACGUUCCUCGGGUCUUGUAAUACAACCGCACCUGUUCAAAAAAAAAACCCA